GUACACUCCUGCGGGAGGCAGCAGUGGGGAAUUUUGGACAAUGGGCGAAAGCCUGAUCCAGCAAUGCCGCGUGAGUGAAGAAGGCCUUCGGGUUGUAACGCUCUUUUGUCAGGGAAGAAACGGUGAAAGCUAAUAUCUUUUGCUAAUGACGGUACCUGAAGAAUAAGCACCGGCUAACUACGUGCCAGCAGCCGCGGUAAUACGUAGGGUGCAAGCGUUCAUCGGAAUUACUGGGCGUAAAGCGUGCGCAGGCGGUUUUGUAAGUCUGAUGUGAAAUCCCCGGGCUCAACCUGGGAAUUGCAUUGGAGACUGCAAGGCUAGAAUCUGGCAGAGGGGGGUAGAAUUCCACGUGUAGCAGUGAAAUGCGUAGAUAUGUGGAGGAACACCGAUGGCGAAGGCAGACCCCUGGGUCAAGAUUGACGCUCAUGCACGAAAGCGUGGGGAGCAAACAGGAUUAGAUACCCGAGUAGUCCC
Molecule: ribosomal RNA, 474 nt
Filed under: uncultured organism
Description: partial 16S ribosomal RNA
Rfam family: Bacterial small subunit ribosomal RNA
Source: RNAcentral